GACAGCUAGGAUGUUGGCUUGGAAGCAGCCAUUCAUUUAAAGAGUGCGUAACAGCUCACUAGUCGAGUGCUUUGGCGUGGAUAAUAAUCGGGCAUAAGCUAUUUACCGAAGCUGUGGGAUGUGUAAACAUCGGUAGGGGAGCAUUCUAGCGACGCUGAAGGUGAGAGGACAACUCUUGCUGGAGUUUCUAGAAAAGCAAAUGUAGGUAUAAGUAACGAUAAAGGAGGUGAGAAACCUCCUCGCCGAAAGACUAAGGUUUCCUGAUCAACGCUAAUCGGAUCAGGGUUAGUCGGGGCCUAAGGGGAAGCCGAACGGCGUACCCGAUGGAAGAACCGGUUAAUAUUCCGGUACUAAUUAUGUGAGCGAUGUGGAGACGGAGAUGUGACGGUCCUGCCAACUGACGGAAUAGUUGGUUGAAGGGUGUAGGAGUUGAUCUGAGUAGGCAAAUCCGCUCGGAGAUCCGAACCUGACAGUACUCUGAGUGCUUGCACAAGGAGAUAUGGACAACUGUAACGGUGCUCCCAAGAAAAUCCGCUAAGCAUAUUGCAUGAUUACCCGUACCAUAAACCGACACAGGUGGUUGGGUUGAGUAUACUAAGGCGCUCGAGUGAUUCGCGGUUAAGGAACUAGGCAAAAUAGUCCUGUAACUUCGGAAUAAAGGACGCUCACAGUGAAGGCUGUGAGCCGCAGAGAAUAGGCCCAGGCGACUGUUUAACAAAAACACAUGGCUAUGCUAAAUCGAAAGAUACUGUAUAUAGCCUGACACCUGCCCGGUGCUGGAAGGUUAAGAGGAGAUGUCAUCGCAAGAGAAGCAUUGAAUUGAAGCCCCAGUAAACGGCGGCCGUAACUAUAACGGUCCUAAGGUAGCGAAAUUCCUUGUCGGGUAAGUUCCGACCUGCACGAAUGGUGUAACGAUCUGGGUACUGUCUCAACCGCGAGCUCGGUGAAAUUGUAGUAUCGGUGAAGAUGCCGAUUACCCGCAACGGGACGAAAAGACCCCGUGAACCUUUACUAUAGCUUUGCAUUGGAUUUGGGUAACAAAUGUGUAGGAUAGGCCGGAGACUAUGAAGCGGGUACGCCAGUAUUCGUGGAGUCGCCGUUGAAAUACGGCCCUUUUGUUAUUUGGGUUCUAACUCGCGGAUGCGAGGACAUUGCAUGGUGGGUAGUUUGACUGGGGUGGUCGCCUCCAAAAGUGUAACGGAGGCUUCUAAAGGUACCCUCAGACCGAUUGGUAACCGGUCGUAGAGUGUAAUGGCACAAGGGUGCUUGACUGGGAGACUAACAAGUCGCACAGGUAGGAAACUAGAGCAUAGUGAUCCGGUGGUUCCGUAUGGAAGGGCCAUCGCUCAAAGGAUAAA
RNAcentral lists this ribosomal RNA (1358 nucleotides) under human metagenome. Its description in RNAcentral is "bacterial LSU rRNA". It matches the Rfam family "Bacterial large subunit ribosomal RNA", at positions 1088 to 2460 of the family's 2925-position model. The record is from RNAcentral.